This 899-nucleotide long non-coding RNA is filed under the name Brachypodium distachyon (stiff brome). Its description in RNAcentral is "long non-coding RNA (BDIS_LNC003804)". The record is from RNAcentral. Lineage: Eukaryota; Viridiplantae; Streptophyta; Magnoliopsida; Poales; Poaceae.
GCCUGUACAAGACAUCAUGCUCCGGAUCCGAGCAUAGAAAAAUCCACUGGAUUUUUUAGUAAUCAAAUCCACCCAUCCAUAACUCCGUUCGCAUAGAAAAAUGUCACAAAAUUUCUGUACACAAAAUCUGAACCAACUAGCUGGAUUAGAACAUCCACUGAAAAUUCGUAGGCGUUGAAUUAGAAUUUUUUUUUCAAGAUUUAGCAAUCACAUCUCUACCCACAGAUCGAGAGACGAAUCAAAUCGAACCACAAUUUGCGCAACAGAGAGCAAUGAAUCAAAUCGAAACGUGGCGGAGGAAGACCAGAAAGCGUGUCCCGCCUAGGAUCCGACGAGGUUCUGCGGAAGCAGCACCUGGACGACCUGCUCUAGGAGAAGGCGCGGCUAGAGGCGGGCCGCCGUACCCGGCCCCCGCCAAGGUCCGACCGCACAUUGUGCCCGCUCGUACUCGGCAACCGCCAUGCACCCGUGGGCAUCGGUCGACAGAGAUCCGGAGGUAGGGGACGGAGGAGCUGAUGGGCGGCGGCGGUCGCUCACUGACCCAAGAUCGACGAGGGGCUGCUCCAGCGACAAGAUCAGGUGGCAGGCGACCGGAUCGGGGUGACCUCGAGAGGCGGCGGCAACCGGAUCCACGAGGAGCUGAUGGGCGGCGGCGGCGACCGGAUCAGGGCGUACUCGAGGGGCAGCGGGGCCUCGAUCUGGAUCGAUGUAGGUGGGGGCUGCGAAGAAAGAGCCUUCCCGAUCGAUGUUGUCCCCGGCGGCAUCUCGAUCCGGAGGAGUUCUACUGGAUCGAGUGAGAAGGAGAAAAGGAGAUAUUUAGGGCGAAGGUGGGGCCUAGUUUUUUGGAAUAGCCCAGGUUCCCAUCGUAAAUGGCCCAGGUUCCCAUCGUAAAUGGCCCA